GAUCCUGGCUCAGGAUGAACGCUAGCGGCAGGCUUAACACAUGCAAGUCGAGGGGCAGCAUAAUGGAUAGCAAUAUCUAUGGUGGCGACCGGCGCACGGGUGCGUAACGCGUAUGCAACCUACCUUUAACAGGGGAGUAACACUGAGAAAUUAGGUACUAAUACCCACUAACAUCAUGAAGGACAUCUUUUAUUGGUUGGUAAAGUUAACCGUACUGUUAGGUAGAUAGGGCGGAUGCGUUGGUUAUUUAG
Molecule: ribosomal RNA, 251 nt
Filed under: uncultured bacterium
Lineage: Bacteria
Description: partial 16S ribosomal RNA
Rfam family: Bacterial small subunit ribosomal RNA
Source: RNAcentral